RNAcentral lists this small RNA (7451 nucleotides) under Caenorhabditis elegans. RNAcentral describes it as "Unclassified non-coding RNA Y54G11A.24". Lineage: Eukaryota; Metazoa; Nematoda; Chromadorea; Rhabditida; Rhabditidae. The record is from RNAcentral.
GUCGAACAAGCCGCCUUCUGCCCGGCCCACAUCGUCCCAGGAAUCGAGUUCUCGCCAGACAAGAUGCUCCAAGGGCGUAUCUUCUCCUACACGGACACGCAUUACCAUCGCCUUGGACCAAACUACAUUCAGCUUCCAGUCAACUGCCCGUACCGCUCCCGUGCUCAUACCACUCAACGCGAUGGUGCAAUGGCUUAUGAAAGCCAGGGAGAUGCGCCGAAUUACUUCCCGAACAGUUUCCGCGGAUACCGUACUCGUGAUGAUGUGAAGGAGUCGACAUUUCAGACGACUGGAGAUGUUGAUCGUUAUGAGACUGGAGACGAUCACAACUACGAGCAGCCACGUCAGUUCUGGGAGAAAGUGCUCAAGGAGGAGGAGAGAGAUCGGCUCGUUGGGAAUUUGGCUAGUGAUUUGGGUGGCUGUUUGGAGGAAAUUCAAAAUGGAAUGGUCAAAGAGUUCACGAAAGUUCAUCCGGAUUUCGGAAAUGCUCUUCGCCAUCAGCUCUGCCAGAAGAAGCAUUAAAUUGUUUGAUAUUCAAACUUUUGUAUAUAGAAUCUCGUUAUUUAUAAACUCUUUUUUUUGUAUUUCUUCUGGUUUUUGAUGAUAAGAAAUUUUAUGUGCACAUAAAUCAAAAAAGCCGGAAAUUAAAUAGCGUUUUAUCAGGCAGAAAAUUGGCCACGUGACGUCAUCAUUUUCCUGUUUGAAGAAAAUCUGGAAAAUUUUUUGUUUCAGUCAAUUUUUAAAGAUGAAAACUUAAGUUAGACUGUAAAAGCAAUUUUCGCGCCAAAAUUACGGUAUCGGGUCUCGAAACGACAGUUUUUUAUCUAUUGCGAAAAUAUGUGCGCCUUUAAAGAGUACUGUAGUUGCAAACUUUUGUCGCUGUGGAGUUUUUAUCGAUUUUUUAUAUUUUUUCGAUGAAAACAACUCAAAUAUAACAAUAAAAACACAAAAUUAAAAAAAAAAUCGAUAAAAAAUCCGCGUCAACGAAAGUUUAAAGUUACAGUAUUUGUCGUUUCGAGACCGGGUACCGUAGUUUUUGGUGAAAACAUUGCAAAAUUUGGUCAACAAUUUCAUCGCUGCGAGACCGACACAACACUUUAUUUUAUUUUUGGGUUUCCCUUAUCGCUUAUCAUAAACAUGUGACGUCAUCAUCUCUUGUACAGAGCACCGCGACUGGGAGUAUAAGAAUCGCCGGAAAACAUCAAUAAUCAGUUCGGUAGAAGUGAAAAUUGAGCGUAAAAUAUGAUCAUUUUUCGAUGCACCAUAUUUGACGCGCAAUACUUCUACAAGCCGCUGUGUACUGCUCGUGGACAACUUUGGAUUAUUUUUUGUUUUUAAAAUUCAAAAUAGUCAAUAUAUUGCUUAUUUAUAGCGCGCCUUUUUGACAGUAAGUUUGUCAAAUUUGCGCGUAAGUUAUGGUGUUUGCACAUAUGCACCAUACAGCAACACCCCGCGGCCCGGCUAGUGGUACAUCCAUGCAAAUGCGCUCUACUGAUAAUUUGAGUUUAACCAGGUUUAGGCGCAAGAUAAGAAAAAAGCUUUGGACCAAAAAAUUUAGAGUUUAUUUUUUUCGGACAUUUUUUAUAUACAUCACAAAAAUAUUGGGCCACUCGUUUUUGAUAAAAACGACAAGCCCAAAAGUUCAGGUAUACGGUAGACAAAUUGCGUACAGGUACCACUUUUCCACGUAGUGCCAGGUUGUCCCAUUACGCUUUGAUCUAUGAAAAAUGCGGGAAUUUUUCGUCCAGAAAAAUGUGACGUCAGCACGUUCUCAACCAUGCGAAAUCAGUUGAAAACUCUGCGUCUAUUCUCCCGCAUUUUUUGUAGAUCUGUAGAUUUGUAGAUCAAUCCAUUCCCCGUAUACCCUGACCCAUAAUCAAUACCUACCUAAUUUUUGUCUUUCCCCCUACUUUUUUGCCUGUCCAAAAUAAGCGAGACUAUGCCGUAGUCUGGUGUCCAACAACAUGUUCCUUAUCAGUGAUAACGCUACAAUCUUCUUUCUUUUUUCUCUGUUUCUCUUGUCUCUCCCAACCCAUAUUCCGUAUUACACCUCGUCGUGGUCAUUUUUUUGUUCAGAGUUUUAUUUAAUUCUAAAUUUCCUAACUAAAAUUUCAGAACCAAAAUGCCAAACGAUCCAUCGGAUAAUCAACUGAAAACCUACAAGGAGACGUAUCCAGUGAGUUUAGAGUUUAAAGGCACAGACGCAUUUUCUACAACAACAACUACUAUUUACAGUAACUUGUUUCAGAAACCCCAAGUGAUCACAACUUCAAAUGGAGCUCCGAUCUACUCGAAGACCGCCGUGCUCACCGCCGGGCGGCGUGGCCCAAUGCUCAUGCAAGAUGUAGUUUAUAUGGAUGAGAUGGCUCAUUUCGAUCGUGAACGUAUCCCCGAGCGUGUCGUUCAUGCCAAGGGAGCCGGAGCCCAUGGAUACUUCGAGGUCACCCAUGACAUCACCAAGUACUGUAAGGCCGAUAUGUUCAACAAGGUCGGAAAACAGACACCACUUCUCGUUCGUUUUUCAACGGUCGCUGGAGAAUCGGGAUCCGCUGAUACUGUCCGCGAUCCACGUGGAUUCUCUCUCAAAUUCUAUACCGAGGAGGGUAACUGGGAUCUGGUUGGAAAUAACACUCCGAUCUUCUUCAUUCGUGACGCAAUCCACUUUCCGAAUUUCAUUCAUGCCCUGAAGCGCAAUCCACAGACUCACAUGAGGGAUCCGAAUGCGCUCUUCGAUUUCUGGAUGAAUCGCCCUGAAUCCAUUCAUCAGGUGAUGUUCCUCUACUCGGAUCGUGGAAUUCCUGAUGGAUUCCGUUUUAUGAAUGGAUACGGAGCGCAUACUUUCAAGAUGGUCAACAAGGAGGGAAAUCCGAUUUAUUGUAAAUUCCAUUUCAAGGUAAGCCUAAGAGAGACGGGGACUAGAAUUAAAUUUUCAUUUUCUAUUUUUCAGCCUGCUCAAGGUUCCAAGAAUCUCGAUCCAACUGACGCUGGAAAGCUCGCCUCUUCGGAUCCAGACUAUGCGAUCCGCGACCUGUUCAAUGCCAUUGAGUCAAGAAAUUUCCCGGAAUGGAAGAUGUUCAUUCAAGUGAUGACAUUCGAACAAGCUGAGAAAUGGGAGUUCAAUCCAUUUGAUGUCACUAAAGUUUGGCCACACGGUGAUUACCCACUGAUCGAGGUCGGCAAGAUGGUGCUGAACAGGAAUGUGAAGAAUUAUUUCGCUGAGGCAAGUGGUGUGAAGAUGAAUUAGUUUUUUUUAAUAUUAGGUCUCCAAAUAAGUUCCGGGUCAAAAAUCAUAACUUUGUUCGCUGUGUAUCGAUUUUUAUGAAACUGUAGGAAUUUACGUUAUCAACUAUGAUCUUUCAUUUGACAAUAGUCACAAAAUUUUUUGGCCGUCCGAAGUGCCCUAACUCGGAGCCAAUUUUUUCAGGCAUUUUUCAGAUCUCGCUUCUUUUCAGGUUUCAAUUGAGGUUUGUGUGCGGAUUUUGCUUAGUUUAGUACACAAUGUAAGAAAACAAAAAGUUUGGAAAAAAUCCGUCCAAAAAAAUUUUUUUUGUCGGUCGUCAAAAAAUCUUCAAAAAAUUUUUUUUUCGAAAAUUCUCGAUUUUUUAUACAAAAAUGAUGUAACCAUGUGCAAACUAUUUUUACACAUACAAAACAUUUCAAUUUAUUGCGUCACACUAAAACAAUAACAGAAAACACAGCUUUUUCGAAAAAUUUUCGAGUUCUUGGAGUAUUUCUCGAGAUCCAAAUUUCAUACUCAAAUGUUUUGUAUGUGUAAAAAUAGUUUGCACAUGGUUACAUCAUUCUUGUAUAAAAAAUCGAGAAUUUUCGAAAAAAAAUUUUUUUGAAGAUUUUUUGACGACCGACAAAAAAAAUUUUUUUGGACGGAUUUUUUCCAAACUUUUUUUGUUUUCUUACAUUGUGUACUAAACUAAGCAAAAUCCGCACACAAACCUCAAUUGAAACCUGAAAAGAAGCGAGAUCUGAAAAAUGCCUGAAAAAAAUGGCUCCGAGUUAGGGCGCUCCGGGUGGUCAAAAAAUUUUGUGACCAUUUCAAAAUGAAAGGUCAUAGUUGAUAACAUAAAUUCCCAAAGUUUCAAAAAAAUCUAUAAAAGGCAAAAAAAGUUCUGAUUUUUGACCCGGAACUUAUUUGGAGACCUAAUAGGAACAAUAAAAAUUGCAUUUUACGUCUAGCUUUAAAGGUGGAGUAAAAAUAUUUUUUAUUUUGGUUUUCAGGUCGAACAAGCCGCCUUCUGCCCGGCCCACAUCGUCCCAGGAAUCGAGUUCUCGCCAGACAAGAUGCUCCAAGGGCGUAUCUUCUCCUACACGGACACGCAUUACCAUCGCCUUGGACCAAACUACAUUCAGCUUCCAGUCAACUGCCCGUACCGCUCCCGUGCUCAUACCACUCAACGCGAUGGUGCAAUGGCUUAUGAAAGCCAGGGAGAUGCGCCGAAUUACUUCCCGAACAGUUUCCGCGGAUACCGUACUCGUGAUGAUGUGAAGGAGUCGACAUUUCAGACGACUGGAGAUGUUGAUCGUUAUGAGACUGGAGACGAUCACAACUACGAGCAGCCACGUCAGUUCUGGGAGAAAGUGCUCAAGGAGGAGGAGAGAGAUCGGCUCGUUGGGAAUUUGGCUAGUGAUUUGGGUGGCUGUUUGGAGGAAAUUCAAAAUGGAAUGGUCAAAGAGUUCACGAAAGUUCAUCCGGAUUUCGGAAAUGCUCUUCGCCAUCAGCUCUGCCAGAAGAAGCAUUAAAUUGUUUGAUAUUCAAACUUUUGUAUAUAGAAUCUCGUUAUUUAUAAACUCUUUUUUUUGUAUUUCUUCUGGUUUUUGAUGAUAAGAAAUUUUAUGUGCACAUAAAUCAAAAAAGCCGGAAAUUAAAUAGCGUUUUAUCAGGCAGAAAAUUGGCCACGUGACGUCAUCAUUUUCCUGUUUGAAGAAAAUCUGGAAAAUUUUUUGUUUCAGUCAAUUUUUAAAGAUGAAAACUUAAGUUAGACUGUAAAAGCAAUUUUCGCGCCAAAAUUACGGUAUCGGGUCUCGAAACGACAGUUUUUUAUCUAUUGCGAAAAUAUGUGCGCCUUUAAAGAGUACUGUAGUUGCAAACUUUUGUCGCUGUGGAGUUUUUAUCGAUUUUUUAUAUUUUUUCGAUGAAAACAACUCAAAUAUAACAAUAAAAACACAAAAUUAAAAAAAAAAUCGAUAAAAAAUCCGCGUCAACGAAAGUUUAAAGUUACAGUAUUUGUCGUUUCGAGACCGGGUACCGUAGUUUUUGGUGAAAACAUUGCAAAAUUUGGUCAACAAUUUCAUCGCUGCGAGACCGACACAACACUUUAUUUUAUUUUUGGGUUUCCCUUAUCGCUUAUCAUAAACAUGUGACGUCAUCAUCUCUUGUACAGAGCACCGCGACUGGGAGUAUAAGAAUCGCCGGAAAACAUCAAUAAUCAGUUCGGUAGAAGUGAAAAUUGAGCGUAAAAUAUGAUCAUUUUUCGAUGCACCAUAUUUGACGCGCAAUACUUCUACAAGCCGCUGUGUACUGCUCGUGGACAACUUUGGAUUAUUUUUUGUUUUUAAAAUUCAAAAUAGUCAAUAUAUUGCUUAUUUAUAGCGCGCCUUUUUGACAGUAAGUUUGUCAAAUUUGCGCGUAAGUUAUGGUGUUUGCACAUAUGCACCAUACAGCAACACCCCGCGGCCCGGCUAGUGGUACAUCCAUGCAAAUGCGCUCUACUGAUAAUUUGAGUUUAACCAGGUUUAGGCGCAAGAUAAGAAAAAAGCUUUGGACCAAAAAAUUUAGAGUUUAUUUUUUUCGGACAUUUUUUAUAUACAUCACAAAAAUAUUGGGCCACUCGUUUUUGAUAAAAACGACAAGCCCAAAAGUUCAGGUAUACGGUAGACAAAUUGCGUACAGGUACCACUUUUCCACGUAGUGCCAGGUUGUCCCAUUACGCUUUGAUCUAUGAAAAAUGCGGGAAUUUUUCGUCCAGAAAAAUGUGACGUCAGCACGUUCUCAACCAUGCGAAAUCAGUUGAAAACUCUGCGUCUAUUCUCCCGCAUUUUUUGUAGAUCUGUAGAUUUGUAGAUCAAUCCAUUCCCCGUAUACCCUGACCCAUAAUCAAUACCUACCUAAUUUUUGUCUUUCCCCCUACUUUUUUGCCUGUCCAAAAUAAGCGAGACUAUGCCGUAGUCUGGUGUCCAACAACAUGUUCCUUAUCAGUGAUAACGCUACAAUCUUCUUUCUUUUUUCUCUGUUUCUCUUGUCUCUCCCAACCCAUAUUCCGUAUUACACCUCGUCGUGGUCAUUUUUUUGUUCAGAGUUUUAUUUAAUUCUAAAUUUCCUAACUAAAAUUUCAGAACCAAAAUGCCAAACGAUCCAUCGGAUAAUCAACUGAAAACCUACAAGGAGACGUAUCCAGUGAGUUUAGAGUUUAAAGGCACAGACGCAUUUUCUACAACAACAACUACUAUUUACAGUAACUUGUUUCAGAAACCCCAAGUGAUCACAACUUCAAAUGGAGCUCCGAUCUACUCGAAGACCGCCGUGCUCACCGCCGGGCGGCGUGGCCCAAUGCUCAUGCAAGAUGUAGUUUAUAUGGAUGAGAUGGCUCAUUUCGAUCGUGAACGUAUCCCCGAGCGUGUCGUUCAUGCCAAGGGAGCCGGAGCCCAUGGAUACUUCGAGGUCACCCAUGACAUCUCCAAGUACUGUAAGGCCGAUAUCUUCAACAAGGUCGGGAAGCAGACCCCACUGCUAAUUAGAUUCUCUACAGUCGGUGGUGAGAGCGGAUCCGCCGACACCGCUCGUGAUCCACGUGGAUUUGCGAUCAAGUUCUACACCGAGGAGGGAAACUGGGAUCUGGUUGGAAAUAACACUCCGAUCUUCUUCAUCCGUGACCCUAUCCACUUCCCGAACUUUAUCCAUACCCAGAAGCGUAAUCCACAGACUCACCUGAAGGAUCCCAACAUGAUCUUUGACUUCUGGCUUCAUAGACCAGAGGCUUUGCAUCAAGUGAUGUUCCUGUUUUCCGAUCGAGGACUCCCAGAUGGGUACCGUCAUAUGAAUGGAUACGGAUCCCAUACAUUCAAGAUGGUUAACAAGGACGGAAAGGCUAUCUAUGUGAAAUUCCAUUUCAAGGUGGGUCCUUAAUGUUAUUUAAAUUUUUCGGUCUAUAAUUUCCAACUUCAGCCAACUCAAGGAGUGAAGAAUCUCACCGUGGAGAAGGCCGGUCAACUUGCCUCUUCGGACCCAGACUAUUCCAUCCGUGACCUGUUCAAUGCUAUUGAGAAGGGAGACUUUCCAGUAUGGAAGAUGUUCAUUCAAGUGAUGACAUUCGAACAAGCUGAGAAAUGGGAGUUCAAUCCAUUUGAUGUCACUAAAGUUUGGCCACACGGUGAUUACCCACUGAUCGAGGUCGGCAAGAUGGUGCUGAACAGAAAUCCAAGGAACUACUUCGCUGAGG